RNAcentral lists this ribosomal RNA (481 nucleotides) under uncultured bacterium. Its description in RNAcentral is "partial 16S ribosomal RNA". It matches the Rfam family "Bacterial small subunit ribosomal RNA", at positions 28 to 507 of the family's 1533-position model. The record is from RNAcentral.
GAUGAACGCUGGCGGCGUGCCUAACACAUGCAAGUCGAACGGAGAUUACGGACGGAAGUUUUCGGAUGGAAGCCUGUAAUUCUUAGUGGCGGACGGGUGAGUAACGCGUGGGCAACCUGCCCUAUACAGGGGGAUAGCAGCUGGAAACGGCUGGUAAGACCGCAUAAGUCGGUUAAAUCGCAUGAUUUGAUCGGGAAAUGAGCAAUCAGGUAUAGGAUGGGCCCGCGUCCGAUUAGCCAGUUGGCAGGGUAAAAGCCUACCAAAGCGACGAUCGGUAGCCGGACUGAGAGGUCGGACGGCCACAUUGGGACUGAGACACGGCCCAGACUCCUACGGGAGGCAGCAGUGGGGGAUAUUGCACAAUGGAGGAAACUCUGAUGCAGCGACGCCGCGUGAGUGAAGAAGUAUUUCGGUAUGUAAAGCUCUAUCAGCAGGGAAGAUGAUGACGGUACCUGACUAAUAAGCCCCGGCUAACUACGUG